GACGAACGCUGGCGGCGUGCUUAACACAUGCAAGUCGAACGAUGAUGCCAGCUUGCUGGUGGAUUAGUGGCGAACGGGUGAGUAACACGUGAGCAACCUGCCCCUGACUUCGGAAUAACCGCGGGAAACCGUGGCUAAUACCGGAUAUGACGCGCUAUCGCAUGGUGGUGUGUGGAAAGAUUUAUCGGUUGGGGAUGGGCUCGCGGCCUAUCAGCUUGUUGGUGGGGUGAUGGCCUACCAAGGCGACGACGGGUAGCCGGCCUGAGAGGGUGACCGGCCACACUGGGACUGAGACACGGCCCAGACUCCUACGGGAGGCAGCAGUGGGGAAUAUUGCACAAUGGGCGCAAGCCUGAUGCAGCGACGCCGCGUGAGGGAUGACGGCCUUCGGGUUGUAAUCCUCUUUCAGUAGGGAAGAAGGCCUUCGGGUUGACGGUACCUGCAGAAGAAGCGCCGGCUAACUACGUG
RNAcentral lists this ribosomal RNA (468 nucleotides) under uncultured bacterium. RNAcentral describes it as "partial 16S ribosomal RNA". It matches the Rfam family "Bacterial small subunit ribosomal RNA", at positions 28 to 507 of the family's 1533-position model. The record is from RNAcentral.